UGGCUGAGUUGGUAGAGCAUGGUGCUUUCAAUGCUAGUGUUGUGGGUUAGAUUCCCAC
RNAcentral lists this transfer RNA (58 nucleotides) under Salmo salar (Atlantic salmon). It matches the Rfam family "tRNA", at positions 8 to 63 of the family's 71-position model. From Rfam's summary of the family: Transfer RNA (tRNA) molecules are approximately 80 nucleotides in length. Their secondary structure includes four short double-helical elements and three loops (D, anti-codon, and T loops). RNAcentral also lists the same sequence under 1 other name. Lineage: Eukaryota; Metazoa; Chordata; Actinopteri; Salmoniformes; Salmonidae. The record is from Rfam by way of RNAcentral.